GGAGAGGUGCCGGAGCGGUUUAACGGGGCGGUCUCGAAAACCGUUGUGCCGAAAGGUACCGGGGGUUCGAAUCCCCCCCUCUCCGCCA
This 88-nucleotide transfer RNA is filed under the name Nitrospiraceae bacterium. RNAcentral describes it as "tRNA-Ser". It matches the Rfam family "tRNA". Rfam says of the family: Transfer RNA (tRNA) molecules are approximately 80 nucleotides in length. Their secondary structure includes four short double-helical elements and three loops (D, anti-codon, and T loops). Lineage: Bacteria; Pseudomonadati; Nitrospirota; Nitrospiria; Nitrospirales; Nitrospiraceae. The record is from RNAcentral. RNAcentral also lists the same sequence under 1 other name.